AAAGGAAUUGACGGGGGCCCGCACAAGCAGUGGAGUAUGUGGUUUAAUUCGACGCAACGCGAAGAACCUUACCAGGGCUUGACAUAUACAGGAAUAAUUAAGAGAUUAAUUAGCUCUUCGGAGUCUGUAUACAGGUGGUGCAUGGUUGUCGUCAGCUCGUGUCGUGAGAUGUUGGGUUAAGUCCCGCAACGAGCGCAACCCCUGUCCUUAGUUGCUAACAGUAAGAUGAGAACUCUAAGGAGACUGCCGGUGAUAAAUCGGAGGAAGGUGGGGACGACGUCAAAUCAUCAUGCCCUUUAUGUCCUGGGCUACACACGUACUACAAUGGCUAUUACAGAGAGAAGCAAUAUAGUGAUAUGGAGCGAAACUCCAAAAGUAGUCUCAGUUCGGAUUGUAGGCUGAAAUUCGCCUACAUGAAGCCGGAAUUGCUAGUAAUGGCAGGUCAGCAUACUGCCGUGAAUACGUUCCCGGGCCUUGUACACACCGCCCGU
RNAcentral lists this ribosomal RNA (491 nucleotides) under uncultured bacterium. RNAcentral describes it as "bacterial SSU rRNA". It matches the Rfam family "Bacterial small subunit ribosomal RNA", at positions 903 to 1397 of the family's 1533-position model. The record is from RNAcentral.